This 620-nucleotide ribosomal RNA is filed under the name uncultured archaeon. Its description in RNAcentral is "bacterial SSU rRNA". It matches the Rfam family "Archaeal small subunit ribosomal RNA", at positions 1 to 630 of the family's 1478-position model. The record is from RNAcentral.
UUCUGGUUGAUCCUGCCGGACCUGACUGCUAUCGUAUUGGUACUAAGCCAUGCGAGUCGUUGUACAAUACAAGGCGGACUGCUCAGUAACACGUAGUUAACUUAACCUAUGGAUGGGAAUAACCUCGGGAAACUGAGAAUAAUACCCAAUGGGCCACAGUGCCUGGAAUGGCCUGUGGUUGAAAUGAUUUAUCGCCGUAGGAUAGGACUGCGGCCUAUCAGCUUGUUGGUGAGGUAAUGGCCCACCAAGGCUAUAACAGGUACGGGCUCUGAGAGGAGGGGCCCGGAGAUGGGUACUGAGACACGGACCCAGGCCCUAUGGGGCGCAGCAGGCGAGAAACCUUUGCAAUGUGCGAAAGCACGACAAGGUUAAUCCGAGUGUCUCCUGCUAAAGGAGUCUUUUGUCAGUUGUAGAAUCACUGGUGAAUAAGGGGUGGGCAAGUUCUGGUGUCAGCCGCCGCGGUAAAACCAGCACCUCGAGUGGUCAGGAGGUUUAUUGGGCCUAAAGCAUCCGUAGCCGGUUGCAUAAGUUUUCGGUUAAAUCUAUGCGCUUAACGUAUAGGCCGCCGAAAACACUGUGCAGCUAGGGAGUGGGAGAGGUCACGGUACUCGAUAGGAAGG